GACGAACGCUGGCGGCGUGCCUAAUACAUGCAAGUCGAACGCAGUGGGGACGGGUGAGUAACACGUGGGUAACCUCCCAUCAGAGGGGAUAACACUUGGAAACAGGUGCUAAACCGAUACUGAUGGAUGGACCCGCUGUGCAUUAGCUAGUUGGUGAGGUAACGGCCCACCAAGGCAACGAUGCAUAGCCGACCGGAGAGGUUGAUCGGCCACACUGGAACUGAGAAACGGCCCAGACUCCGACGGGAGGCAGCAGUAGGGAAUCUUGCGCAAUGGGCGAAAGUCUGACGGAGCAACGCCGCGUGAGUGAAGAAGGUUUGCGGAUCGUAAAUCUCUGUUAUUAGGGAAGCGGUACCUAACAAGAAAGCCCCGGCUAACUACGUGCCAGCAGCCGCGGUAAUUC
This 403-nucleotide ribosomal RNA is filed under the name uncultured bacterium. RNAcentral's name for it is "partial 16S ribosomal RNA". It matches the Rfam family "Bacterial small subunit ribosomal RNA", at positions 28 to 526 of the family's 1533-position model. The record is from RNAcentral.